AACCAACAGGGAUUGCCCCAGUAACGGCGAGUGAAGCGGCAACAGCUCAAAUUUGAAAUCUGGCCCCCCGCGGGGGCCCGAGUUGUAAUUUGCAGAGGAUGCUUUUGGCGAGGCGCCUUCCGAGUUCCCUGGAACGGGACGCCGCAGAGGGUGAGAGCCCCGUCUGGUCGGACGCCAAGCCAGUGUAAAGCUCCUUCGACGAGUCGAGUAGUUUGGGAAUGCUGCUCUAAAUGGGAGGUAUAUGUCUUCUAAAGCUAAAUAUUGGCCAGAGACCGAUAGCGCACAAGUAGAGUGAUCGAAAGAUGAAAAGCACUUUGAAAAGAGGGUUAAACAGUACGUGAAAUUGUUGAAAGGGAAGCGCUCGUGACCAGACUCGGGCCCGGCGGAUCAUCCGGCGUUCUCGCCGGUGCGCUCCGCCGGGCUCGGGCCAGCAUCAGCUCGCCGCGGGGGACAAAGGCUUCGGGAACGUGGCUCCCACGGGAGUGUUAUAGCCCGCUGCGCAAUGCCCCGGGGCGGGCUGAGGUUCGCGCUCCGCAAGGAUGCUGGCGUAAUGGUCACCAGCGACCCGUCUUGAAACACGGACCAAGGAGUCGUCUUCGUAUGCGAGUGUUCGGGUGUGAAACCCCUACGCGUAAUGAAAGUGAACGCAGGUGAGAGCCUCGGCGCAUCAUCGACCGAUCCUGAUGUUCUCGGAUGGAUUUGAGUAAGAGCAUACGGGGCCGGACCCGAAAGAAGGUGAACUAUGCCUGUGUAGGGUGAAGCCAGAGGAAACUCUGGUGGAGGCUCGCAGCGGUUCUGACGUGCAAAUCGAUCGUCAAACAUGGGCAUGGGGGCGAAAGACUAAUCGAACCUUCUAGUAGCUGGUUUCCGCCGAAGUUU
RNAcentral lists this ribosomal RNA (879 nucleotides) under Cordyceps sp. Its description in RNAcentral is "partial large subunit ribosomal RNA". It matches the Rfam family "Eukaryotic large subunit ribosomal RNA", at positions 63 to 969 of the family's 3401-position model. The record is from RNAcentral. Lineage: Eukaryota; Fungi; Ascomycota; Sordariomycetes; Hypocreales; Cordycipitaceae.